RNAcentral lists this ribosomal RNA (500 nucleotides) under uncultured bacterium. RNAcentral's name for it is "partial 16S ribosomal RNA". It matches the Rfam family "Bacterial small subunit ribosomal RNA", at positions 30 to 523 of the family's 1533-position model. The record is from RNAcentral.
AUUGAACGCUGGCGGCAUGCUUUACACAUGCAAGUCGAACGGUAACAGGGUGCUUGCACCGCUGACGAGUGGCGAACGGGUGAGUAAUGCGUCGGAACGUGCCGAGUAGUGGGGGAUAACGCAUCGAAAGGUGUGCUAAUACCGCAUACGUACUGAGGUAGAAAGUGGGGGACCUUCGGGCCUCACGCUAUUCGAGCGGCCGACGUCUGAUUAGCUAGUUGGUGAGGUAAAGGCUCACCAAGGCGACGAUCAGUAGCGGGUCUGAGAGGAUGCUCCGCCACACUGGGACUGUGACACGGCCCAGACUCCUACGGGAGGCAGCAGUGGGGAAUUUUGGACAAUGGGCGCAAGCCUGAUCCAGCCAUGCCGCGUGUCUGAAGAAGGCCUUCGGGUUGUAAAGGACUUUUGUCCGGGAGCAAAUACCCAGUGCUAAUAACGCUGGGGGCUGAGAGUACCGGAAGAAUAAGCACCGGCUAACUACGUGCCAGCCGCCGCAGUAA